GUACAAGUCCAAGGUCUUCAUGUUAGAGAGACACACACGCGCACACAUAUAGAGAGAGAGAGAGAGAGAGAGUUCAUCAUCAAAGUCAUUCCCAAGUCCUCCUCCACCACCACCACCACCACCACAACAACAAUGGAAGAAAAUCACCAUUGUUAUUACAUACCCAAAUUCACCAACUUCACAAUCACCACCACCAUCAUCACAACCACCACAAUUAUCAUCAUCUUCUUCAUUCUCCGGCGAUUCCUCGGUGGCCGCCGCCACCGCCUUCGAGCCUUCACUUUCAAACCUAACCCUAAAAACAAAGAAACCCUUUACUGUGCAGUAUGCCUACACAAUGUUGCCGGCGGCGAGAGGUGCCGGAAACUGCCUAAAUGCAACCACUGCUUCCACGUGGACUGCAUUGACCCGUGGUUCGAAACCCGGUCCACUUGCCCACUUUGCAGAACCAUAGUUCAUCAUCUUCCUACCAAGAAACAAAAACAGAAAACUGUUUUCUCUUGGUUUCUUUGGUUUUCCCACCUUAUUCUCAGGAAAAUUGGGAAUCUUGUUGUGGAUGGGAUUACCAAGGCCUUUUUGGAAGAUAGUUGAGGGUUGCCAGCUCAGUAAGCAGCUCUACGCACUCUUUCAAAGUCCCAGCGCAUAAUAGUAACCUACAAUGAUUCUACUUGGUUCCUUUUGUUGCAUUAUCACAUAAAUCAUUCACAUGCAUUUAUUUGGAUAGUGACGUAACAAUAGGUCCAGUUCCAAUAUUUGGACGAGUCUACUAGUCACUUCACAUGUAAAAUUGGUCCAUUAUGGCGACUAGUAUGUACCUUUGUAAAUGAUUCAAUCAUUCAUUUUAUGUAACAAGUUAAAACGAAUAAAUAUAUAAAAAUUUAUGAAUUGUUUAA
This is a long non-coding RNA of Camellia sinensis, 893 nucleotides long. RefSeq lists it as uncharacterized. The record is from RefSeq and is a predicted model, not a curated record. Lineage: Eukaryota; Viridiplantae; Streptophyta; Magnoliopsida; Ericales; Theaceae.